Esox lucius (northern pike) is the source of this 345-nucleotide long non-coding RNA. RefSeq lists it as uncharacterized. The transcript has 3 exons. The record is from RefSeq and is a predicted model, not a curated record. NCBI's taxonomy places the organism in Eukaryota, Metazoa, Chordata, Actinopteri, Esociformes, Esocidae.
CCUGUGAUUUUGGCUCCUCCCCUUCAUCUGGCAGUGAACAUCUCCGGGCUCGCAUCAGAGCCAGCGUCUCCUCAUCUGAGAGAGAACAGGCCUGCAAACCUCUGCAUAGCUCGAACAGCUUGAGUGACGGCUGUCCAGGCCUGUAGCUGUCCAGUGGAAGGGUCCGGGGGUGGGAGAUAGCCAUACCUAGUCAACCAAUCCUGUGACCGAAAACGGAUAAGAGGUCUGCUUAAUGUAUUGAGAGGCAUCAUAGCAGUCCGGGGUUUUCGUCGUCCGUGGGGGUAACGGGAACUCGGUGGGCAUCUGUCGUGGCAGUUGAGGCAACUGUCGAGCCUUGGAUCCGCA